GCACUAAUGAAGAGUUCCAGAAUAGGACAAAACAGCUGUCCAGUAC
RNAcentral lists this non-coding RNA (46 nucleotides) under Trichobilharzia regenti. Lineage: Eukaryota; Metazoa; Platyhelminthes; Trematoda; Strigeidida; Schistosomatidae. The record is from RNAcentral.